RNAcentral lists this ribosomal RNA (1352 nucleotides) under uncultured bacterium. RNAcentral's name for it is "bacterial SSU rRNA". It matches the Rfam family "Bacterial small subunit ribosomal RNA", at positions 28 to 1381 of the family's 1533-position model. The record is from RNAcentral.
AUUGAACGCUGGCGGCAUGCCUUACACAUGCAAGUCGAACGGCAGCACGGAGCUUGCUCUGGUGGCGAGUGGCGAACGGGUGAGUAAUAUAUCGGAACGUACCCUAGAGUGGGGGAUAACGUAGCGAAAGUUACGCUAAUACCGCAUACGAUCUAAGGAUGAAAGUGGGGGAUCGCAAGACCUCAUGCUCGUGGAGCGGCCGAUAUCUGAUUAGCUAGUUGGUAGGGUAAAAGCCUACCAAGGCAUCGAUCAGUAGCUGGUCUGAGAGGACGACCAGCCACACUGGAACUGAGACACGGUCCAGACUCCUACGGGAGGCAGCAGUGGGGAAUUUUGGACAAUGGGCGAAAGCCUGAUCCAGCAAUGCCGCGUGAGUGAAGAAGGCCUUCGGGUUGUAGAGCUCUUUUGUCAGGGAAGAAACGGUGAGAGCUAAUAUCUCUUGCUAAUGACGGUACCUGAAGAAUAAGCACCGGCUAACUACGUGCCAGCAGCCGCGGUAAUACGUAGGGUGCAAGCGUUAAUCGGAAUUACUGGGCGUAAAGCGUGCGCAGGCGGUUUUGUAAGUCUGAUGUGAAAUCCCCGGGCUCAACCUGGGAAUUGCAUUGGAGACUGCAAGGCUAGAAUCUGGCAGAGGGGGGUAGAAUUCCACGUGUAGCAGUGAAAUGCGUAGAUAUGUGGAGGAACACCGAUGGCGAAGGCAGCCCCCUGGGUCAAGAUUGACGCUCAUGCACGAAAGCGUGGGGAGCAAACAGGAUUAGAUACCCUGGUAGUCCACGCCCUAAACGAUGUCUACUAGUUGUCGGGUCUUAAUUGACUUGGUAACGCAGCUAACGCGUGAAGUAGACCACCUGGGGAGUACGGUCGCAAGAUUAAAACUCAAAGGAAUUGACGGGGACCCGCACAAGCGGUGGAUGAUGUGGAUUAAUUCGAUGCAACGCGAAAAACCUUACCUACCCUUGACAUGGCUGGAAUCCUUGAGAGAUCAGGGAGUGCUCGAAAGAGAACCAGUACACAGGUGCUGCAUGGCUGUCGUCAGCUCGUGUCGUGAGAUGUUGGGUUAAGUCCCGCAACGAGCGCAACCCUUGUCAUUAGUUGCUACGAAAGGGCACUCUAAUGAGACUGCCGGUGACAAACCGGAGGAAGGUGGGGAUGACGUCAAGUCCUCAUGGCCCUUAUGGGUAGGGCUUCACACGUCAUACAAUGGUACAUACAGAGCGCCGCCAACCCGCGAGGGGGAGCUAAUCGCAGAAAGUGUAUCGUAGUCCGGAUUGUAGUCUGCAACUCGACUGCAUGAAGUUGGAAUCGCUAGUAAUCGCGGAUCAGCAUGUCGCGGUGAAUACGUUCCCGGGUCU